This 357-nucleotide non-coding RNA is filed under the name Oryza sativa Indica Group (long-grained rice). RNAcentral describes it as "Bacterial small subunit ribosomal RNA". It matches the Rfam family "Bacterial small subunit ribosomal RNA", at positions 1175 to 1533 of the family's 1533-position model. The record is from Rfam by way of RNAcentral. Lineage: Eukaryota; Viridiplantae; Streptophyta; Magnoliopsida; Poales; Poaceae.
AGGGAUGACGUCAGUCCUCAUGGCCCUUACGGGUUGGGCUACACACGUGCUACAAUGGUGGUGACAGUGGGCAGCGACCACGCGAGUGGAAGCGAAUCUCCAAAAGCCAUCUCAGUUCAGAUUGCACUCUGCAACUCGAGUGCAUGAAGUUGGAAUCGCUAGUAAUCGCGGAUCAGCACGCCGCGGUGAAUACGUUCCCGGGCCUUGUACACACCGCCCGUCACACCAUGGGAGUUGGUCUUACCCGACGGCGCUGCGCCAACCGCAAGGAGGCAGGCGACCACGGUAGGGUCAGCGACUGGGGUGAAGUCGUAACAAGGUAGCCGUAGGGGAACCUGCGGCUGGAUCACCUCCUUU